CUCAUUUUCUCUUGCUGCCAUCAUGUAAGAAGAGCCUUUCACCUCCCGCCGUGAUUCUGAGGCUUCCCCAGCCACGUGGAACUGUUCCACUUCCCACAACACCUCUGCCACCAACCAAUUGAGGGUCUUCAGGAGAAGUGUUCUUAUCUGUGCAAUAGAGCCUGCCAGAAGGGGCACCUGGCAACCCUCUUCAGAGGCUUGAUCCUGUGCUGCAGAAACCUAUGGACCUGCUCAACCUGUGCACUGGAAUUCCAGGGAUAGACUGAGCUGUCCCUAGGAGGCUGGGAGCAUUCUCCAGCAGAGACCAGCAACUGCCUCCUGCCUGGAGAAUCUGGAAGGAGGAAGGGCGGCUGGAAUCACCUGUGAUGACUCCAGUGUGUCAGAGAAGACAGGAAGACCAAGAAACAGCCAAGGAGAGGGGCUGAGGAAUGAGAGAUGGAGGAGACAACAGAUUGUCCUUCCCAUUGCCAAACCUUAGGCCGGGCCUGAGGGGAUCAGACUGGGCAAUUGAAUCCUCAAAGGUUCCUGGAAGGACUCAGACUUGUGUACACAUGGAGAAUAGCGUCUGGCGCCAAGAACGCAGAGCGGCUGAGAACUGGUGUUUCUCCUCUUAGGAAAGAAAAUGACAGGGAAAGGAAGAAAAAUAGGAAAGAAGAAAGGAAGAGAGAGAAGAAGGAAAAAAAGAGGGAGGGAGGGAAGGAAAGGGUAGGGAAGGAAGGAAAGAGGAAAAGAAGGAGGAAGAGGAAGAGAUGGAGAGAAGAAAGAAAGGAAGGAAAAGGGAGGGAAGAAAAGGAAAAGAGGGAGGAAGGGAGAAAUGGAAGAAGGGAAAGAAGGAAAAGAAGGAGGAAGAGGAAGAGAUGGAGAGAAGAAAGGAAGGAAGGAAAAGGGAGAGAAGAAAAAGAAAAGAGGGAGGAAGGGAGAAAAGGAAGAAGGGAAAGAAGGAAAAAAGGAAGAAGAGAGGAAUGGAAGGAAGAAGGGAAGGGAAAGAGGGAGACAGGUAAAGAGGGAGGGAGGGAAAUAAGGAAGAGGGAGAAAGAGGGAGAAAGGGGGGAGGAGCAAAGGACGGAAGAAGGAAGGAAAGAAGAAGGGAGGGAAGGGAAAAUAGAGGAAAUGAAGGACGGCACAGGGAAGGGGAAAAAGGACGAAGAGGAGGAAAAGAGGGAGGGAAGAAGGAAGAAGAAAAGGAAAGAGAAAAGAAGGAGGGAGGGAGGGAAGGAAGACAGGAAGGAAAACCAAACGUCGAGGUAGCACUGUGUGUUUGGAUUUCUUGCUUUACUGAAGUAUUACCUUCAUCAGAAGCAGAUGGACUGAAUCACGUCAAAGUCUACCUAGGCAGGAAGCAUUGUUUUAAUUUACCCAGGUCACGGCAAACAUAUUGUCAUUCAGCAUGUGAAACUGUUUGAACUUACAAGGAGUAACCCAGCAACAGCAAUUACCCCACGUGUCCGUUGUGCUCUGAUGAUACAAACGCAACUGGAAUGGAGUCUCAUAAUUUCACAAGGUGACAAAACAUUGAAUUCUGAUGUUUCACCUCCACCUGCGAAUGAGCAGGGAGGUGCUGAGAGGCCAGCUGAAUACACAAAUUCCUUGGGCCCAUGGGCACUGUACAGAGGCCGGCUGCACUGGGGCAAGCUUGCCCUCCUCUCAACCUCAGGCCGGCAGCCAAUGCAGAGCAGCCCCACCGCGGGCUUUUGUCUGCUGAGAGCACACCCCCUGCAUUUCUUAUCAGAUUUACUGUGACAAGGACCCGGAGAAAAGCAAGAUGCUGGUAAGAGCUCAUCAAUUCAGACCCCACUAUUCAGAAAUUUGGAUUUAUUUUUUUGUCACGGAGAACUAGAACUGAUGUGAAUCUUGGCACUAUCCUUGAAAAAAAAUCAUUCAUAAUAACACAACAAUAAUAUAUAACAUUUACUGAGUUCUGACUCUGAACGAGGUACUGUCUGGAGUGCUCUUCGUGGAUGUCUCAUUUAAUCUUCAAAGCAACACUGUGAGGAAGGUCCUAUUAUUCUCUCCAUUUUGCAGGCGAUUACUUUGAGGCACAGAGAGGUCAAGGCCUGCCCAAGGUCACACAGCUAAUGAAUGGGAGAGCCUGGAUUCAGAACCCCAGCAGUCUGAUUGAUGCCAGAGCCAUAUUCUCAAUCACACUUUAAAAGGCAACUCCCAGCUAGGUCAAGAAUUCAGAUUGUUUCUAUGGACCUGAAAAUCAUUUUAACAGUACCCAUUUCUGUUGUUAAAAAAAAAAAAAAAAAGACAAGACAGUGACCCAAUCGAUGAUUCUUAUCCAUUCAUUAAGUCAAAGUUGCUCCUUGACCAUCCUGUUAGCCCUUAUUUCAUGCAUGUGAAAUGAAUAAAACUUCAUUUUGUUCAAAAAGACCCUUGGAUUCAGACUUUCUAUGCUUUUAGGUGGGCUUUCUUAUUAUUAUUCAAAGUCACUGAGGUUUUUCUCAAAGACUUCGGAGACUAAACUAAUCACAGCUGCCUUUGAG
RNAcentral lists this long non-coding RNA (2486 nucleotides) under Homo sapiens (human). RNAcentral describes it as "HSALNT0407301". Lineage: Eukaryota; Metazoa; Chordata; Mammalia; Primates; Hominidae. The record is from RNAcentral.